GGAGCCGUAGUUCAGCCAGGUCAGAACGCCGGCCUGUCAAGCCGGAGGUCGCGGGUUCAAGUCCCGUCGGCUCCGCCA
Molecule: transfer RNA, 78 nt
Filed under: Thermocrinis ruber
Lineage: Bacteria; Pseudomonadati; Aquificota; Aquificia; Aquificales; Aquificaceae
Also listed under: 2 other names
Description: tRNA-Asp (GTC) (tRNA-Asp-GTC-1-1)
Rfam family: tRNA
About the family: Transfer RNA (tRNA) molecules are approximately 80 nucleotides in length. Their secondary structure includes four short double-helical elements and three loops (D, anti-codon, and T loops). Further hydrogen bonds mediate the characteristic L-shaped molecular structure. tRNAs have two regions of fundamental functional importance: the anti-codon, which is responsible for specific mRNA codon recognition, and the 3' end, to which the tRNAs corresponding amino acid is attached (by aminoacyl-tRNA synthetases). tRNAs cope with the degeneracy of the genetic code in two manners: having more than one tRNA (with a specific anti-codon) for a particular amino acid; and 'wobble' base-pairing, i.e. permitting non-standard base-pairing at the 3rd anti-codon position.
Source: RNAcentral